GAUGUCACUCUACCUCACUUUCCCCGUGGUAAUGUUCUGGAUCUCCAAUCAGGCUGAGUGGUUCGAGGACUAUGUUGUCCAGCGCAAGGUGGGUAUCAAGAAAGUGUUGGCUGGAUAAUUCCUGGGGGAAAGGAGGGUGUGAGGCCCUAACUUGCUAUUGGGGUCCAUUGUCUGCCUCCCAUGAGCCAACCCUGUUCUGGAUGUGGGGCUCUGGAUUCUCCUGCCUUAUGUUCUCACCUGUGACUUUGUUCCACAGAGGGAGCUGUGGCCACGAGAGAAAGAGGGCCAGGUCAGUAACCUGUUCUCCCUAAGGGACUGGGUCACUUUAUCCCAAAUGAAGAUUUCACCCUCAGCCCUAGAUAGGGAAGUGGAAGUGGAAGGAGUAGGAGUUCCAGACUAGCCUGGGACCUUGUCUCCGUAAAAGUUUCUUGCCGUUUGUGAUGGUAUAUACCCAUGAUCACAGGAGAGGUAGCCGUAAAUCCAGCAUUCUAGCACUCAGGAGAUGGAUGCAGGAGGAUGGGGAGGAUUCUGGCUGUUCUGUGCCACACAGUGAGCUCAAGGCUAGCCUGUAGUAUAUGAGACCCCAUCUUAAAAAGAGGGGGAGGGCACAAAUGGUUUCGUAAAUGACCUUUUCCCUGAGGGAUAAAGCUGAACUCACGUGUGUAUGGUGGUUGUGAUUGGCGUGGGGUCCCUAGUGUGAAUACUGGACUCUAAAGCCAAAGGGAGGGUAACGUGAGUA
Molecule: long non-coding RNA, 739 nt
Filed under: Rattus norvegicus (Norway rat)
Lineage: Eukaryota; Metazoa; Chordata; Mammalia; Rodentia; Muridae
Description: long non-coding RNA NONRATT007217
Source: RNAcentral